This is a long non-coding RNA of Alligator sinensis (Chinese alligator), 275 nucleotides long. RefSeq lists it as uncharacterized. NCBI's taxonomy places the organism in Eukaryota, Metazoa, Chordata, Crocodylia, Alligatoridae. The transcript is spliced from 2 exons. The record is from RefSeq and is a predicted model, not a curated record.
GCUAAGUUGGCGUCGGGGCUUGAAAAACGACCCUGACCAGCACAAGCUUCUAGGGUUGCUUCUGCAUCCAGCCCCACCUCUAAUGGGGCUCCUAUUGACUGUCUAGCGUGGGAUCAGACCUGCCAUCUUCCUUUGGUGUCUCUUCCAGUUCCAUGCAGCGAUCUGUCCCUUUCCGAUGGAGUGAGGACUAUUAAUAACCGAUCUGAUUUAAAGUCUCUCUUUCAAAGUUGCUGAAUUUGCUGGACAGUGGCAAUAAAAAUAAGUUACUCAAUGUU